GUUAGGGUAUCGGCGCGAAGUGCCAGGGAAGUCGGUGUGACUCCGACGCAGGCCCGCUACGGUGUUCCGCGGCGCGUUUCACGUGCCCCGGUCAGUCCGAAUACCGGCUUCGCGUCGCCAACACAG
This 126-nucleotide non-coding RNA is filed under the name Mycobacterium longobardum. Lineage: Bacteria; Bacillati; Actinomycetota; Actinomycetes; Mycobacteriales; Mycobacteriaceae. The record is from RNAcentral.